CAUUUGCCAAGCGCGUCUUCAUUAAUCAAGAACGAAAGUCAGAGGUUCGAAGGCGAUCAGAUACCGCCCUAGUUCUGACCGUAAACGAUGCCAACUAGCGAUCCGCCGGUGGCUAUCUGGCCCUGGUGGGGAGCUUCCCGGAAACGAAAGUCUUCCGGUUCCGGGGGAAGUAUGGUUGCAAAGCUGAAACUUAAAGGAAUUGACGGAAGGGCACCACCAGGAGUGGAGCCUGCGGCUUAAUUUGACUCAACACGGGAAAACUCACCCGGCCCGGACACCGUGAGGAUUGACAGAUUGAUAGCUUUUUCAUGAUUCGGUGGUUGGUGGUGCAUGGCCGUUCUUAGUUCGUGGAUCGAUUUGUCUGGUUUAUUCCGAUAACGAGCGAGACUCCAGCCUACUAAAUAGUGCGGGCAUUGCUUCUGUGCCUCGCACUUCUUAGAGGGAUUGGCUGCGUCUAGCGGCACGAAACGGAGCAAUAACAGGUCUGUGAUGCCCUUAGAUGUCCGGGGCUGCACGCGCGCUACACUGGCAAAGGCAGCGUGCUUGUCCAUCUCCGAAAGGAGCUGGUAAACCCCUGAAAAUUUGCCGUGAUUGGGAUCGGAAAUUGCAAUUAUUUUCCGUGAACGAGGAAUUCCUAGUAAGUGCGAGUCAUCAGCUCGCGUUGAUUACGUCCCUGCCCUUUGUACACACCGCCCGUCGCUGCCUAGAACUGAGCCAUUUCGAGAAUAUUCGGGAUCGCUGGUUGCGCGCCUUUCGGGGCAUGCCUCCGGCCAGAGAACGAACGUAAUCGCAGUGGCUUGAACCGGGCAAAAGU
Molecule: ribosomal RNA, 814 nt
Filed under: Lobocriconema sp. TSH-2011
Lineage: Eukaryota; Metazoa; Nematoda; Chromadorea; Rhabditida; Criconematidae
Description: SSU rRNA
Rfam family: Eukaryotic small subunit ribosomal RNA
Source: RNAcentral